UGCUGCUUCUUGCGCGUUCCAUAGUUCUCUUGGAAUUUUUGUUUUCGUUGUAGUUUACGCGCUCCUCUGGCACUGCGCAAAGAGACACAUACUAUUCUUGGCAGUCAAGUUCGGUUCAUGUUGUUUUAUGGUGAAGAUAAUGCUGAAUUCACUACACUAUAGUACAGUAGUUAUCGUGGCUCACAGCUUUUUACCACGCAAACAAAUGCGAGUGAUCAAACAGGGUUUGUGAACAAGCAAUAAAAGGGUUAUACUAGAGGAGCAAUUUUGAGUCAGUCAUUUGCGUCCUUUAUAAA
Molecule: long non-coding RNA, 296 nt
Organism: Anneissia japonica
Lineage: Eukaryota; Metazoa; Echinodermata; Crinoidea; Comatulida; Comatulidae
Exons: 3
Source: RefSeq, a predicted model, not a curated record